This 118-nucleotide ribosomal RNA is filed under the name uncultured archaeon. RNAcentral's name for it is "partial 16S ribosomal RNA". The record is from RNAcentral.
ACACCAGACUUGCCCUCCCCUUAUUCCCCCAGCGUUCUAGACUGGGUAAAAGCCUUCCUCAGCGGAUGGCACUCGGGAUAGCCCUGUCACACUUUCGUGUAUUGCAAAGUUUUCGCGA